GACGAACGCUGGCGGCGUGCCUAAUACAUGCAAGUAGAACGCACAGUUUAUACCGUAGCUUGCUACACCAUAUACUGUGAGUUGCGAACGGGUGAGUAACGCGUAGGUAACCUGCCUGGUAGCGGGGUAUAACUAUUGGAAACGAGAGCUAAUACCGCAUAAUAUUGAUUAUUGCAUGAUAAUUUAUUGAAAGAUGCUAUUUCAUCACUACCAGAUGGACCUGCGUUGUAUUAGCUAGUAGGUGAGGUAACGGCUCACCUAGGCGACGAUACAUAGCCGACCUGAGAGGGUGCUAGGCAUCACUGGGCCUGAGACACGACCCAGACUCCUACGGGAGGCAGCAGUAGGGAAUCUUCGCCAAUGGAAGCAAGUCUGACCGAGCAACGCCGCGUGAGUGAAGAAGGUUUUCGGAUCGUAAAGCUCUGUUGUAAGAGAAGAUCGGGUGUGAGAGUGGAAAGUUCACACUGUGACGGUAUCUUAACAGAAAGGGACGGCUAACUCCGUG
Molecule: ribosomal RNA, 505 nt
Filed under: uncultured bacterium
Lineage: Bacteria
Description: partial 16S ribosomal RNA
Rfam family: Bacterial small subunit ribosomal RNA
Source: RNAcentral